UCGGAGAGUUUGAUCCUGGCUCAGGACGAACGCUGGCGGCGUGCCUAAUACAUGCAAGUCGAGCGAACAGAAGGGAGCUUGCUCCCGGAUGUUAGCGGCGGACGGGUGAGUAACACGUGGGUAACCUGCCUGUAAGACUGGGAUAACUCCGGGAAACCGGAGCUAAUACCGGAUAGUUCCUUGAACCGCAUGGUUCAAGGAUGAAAGACGGUUUCGGCUGUCACUUACAGAUGGACCCGCGGCGCAUUAGCUAGUUGGUGGGGUAAUGGCUCACCAAGGCGACGAUGCGUAGCCGACCUGAGAGGGUGAUCGGCCACACUGGGACUGAGACACGGCCCAGACUCCUACGGGAGGCAGCAG
RNAcentral lists this ribosomal RNA (360 nucleotides) under Bacillus safensis. Its description in RNAcentral is "bacterial SSU rRNA". It matches the Rfam family "Bacterial small subunit ribosomal RNA", at positions 1 to 354 of the family's 1533-position model. The record is from RNAcentral. Lineage: Bacteria; Bacillati; Bacillota; Bacilli; Caryophanales; Bacillaceae.